This 514-nucleotide ribosomal RNA is filed under the name uncultured bacterium. Its description in RNAcentral is "partial 16S ribosomal RNA". It matches the Rfam family "Bacterial small subunit ribosomal RNA", at positions 28 to 523 of the family's 1533-position model. The record is from RNAcentral.
GAUGAACGCUGGCGGCGUGCCUAAUACAUGCAAGUCGAGCGAACAGAUGAGAAGCUUGCUUCUCUGAUGUUAGCGGCGGACGGGCGAGUAACACGUGGGUAACCUACCUAUAAGACUGGGAUAACUCCGGGAAACCGGGGCUAAUACCGGAUAAUAUUUUGAACCGCAUGGUUCAAAAGUGAAAGACGGUUUCGGCUGUCACUUAUAGAUGGACCCGGGCCGUAUUAGCUAGUUGGUAAGGUAACGGCUUAACAAGGAGACGAUACGUAGCCCAACAGAGAGGGUCAUCGGCCACACUGGAACUGAGACACGGUCCAGACUCCUACGGGAGGCAGCAGUAGGGAAUCUUCCGCAAUGGGCGAAAGCCUGACGGAGCAACGCCGCGUGAGUGAUGAAGGUCUUCGGAUCGUAAAACUCUGUUGUUAGGGAAGAACAAAUUUGUUAGUAACUGAACAAGUCUUGACGGUACCUAACCAGAAAGCCACGGCUAACUACGUGCCAGCCGCCGCAGUAA